GGUGGCUUAAUGGUAGAGUGCUUGCCUGGCAUGCAUGAGCCCCUGGGUUCCAUUCUCAGCACCA
Molecule: transfer RNA, 64 nt
Filed under: Dipodomys ordii (Ord's kangaroo rat)
Lineage: Eukaryota; Metazoa; Chordata; Mammalia; Rodentia; Heteromyidae
Rfam family: tRNA
About the family: Transfer RNA (tRNA) molecules are approximately 80 nucleotides in length.
Source: Rfam by way of RNAcentral